This 450-nucleotide ribosomal RNA is filed under the name uncultured Glomeromycotina. Its description in RNAcentral is "SSU rRNA". It matches the Rfam family "Eukaryotic small subunit ribosomal RNA", at positions 569 to 1017 of the family's 1831-position model. Lineage: Eukaryota; Fungi; Glomeromycota. The record is from RNAcentral.
AGCAGCCGCGGUAAUUCCAGCUCCAAUAGCGUAUAUUAAAGUUGUUGCAGUUAAAAAGCUCGUAGUUGAAUUUCGGGAUUGACACAUCGGUCGUGCCUUAAGGGGUGUGAACUGGUGUAGUCAAUUUCUCACCUUCUGGAGAACCGCGAUGUCCUUAAUUGGGUGCUGCGAGGAACCAGGACCUUUACUUUGAAAAAUUAGAGUGUUUAAAGCAGGCAUUUUUGCUUGAAUACAUUAGCAUGGAAUAAUAAAAUAGGACGGCAUGAUUCUAUUUUGUUGGUUUCUAGGAUCACCGUAAUGAUUAAUAGGGAUAGUUGGGGGCAUUAGUAUUCAAUUGUCAGAGGUGAAAUUCUUGGAUUUAUUGAAGACUAACUACUGCGAAAGCAUUUGCCAAGGAUGUUUUCAUUAAUCAAGAACGAAAGUUAGGGGAUCGAAGACGAUCAGAUACCG